Mauremys mutica (yellowpond turtle) is the source of this 913-nucleotide long non-coding RNA. RefSeq lists it as uncharacterized. The record is from RefSeq and is a predicted model, not a curated record. NCBI's taxonomy places the organism in Eukaryota, Metazoa, Chordata, Testudines, Geoemydidae. The transcript is spliced from 3 exons.
UCCUAUUUGUAUGCCUGUAUCAUUUUUGUAUCUGAAGUUAUGAAUACUGACUAGGGAUCUGUAUUUCAAAUGGGCUUACUCUGGAAAACACCCACAGACAGCCGUUCAGGUAAACCAAUGAAGAAGCCAGACAGGGCUGAUAGCCCAUCAGCAAAGACAAUGGACUGUGGAAUAGCUUAACCUUCCUGUGGGCAUUUUGACUACCCUGUAAACAAUGGCUGCUAUAAGACAGCAAAGGCAUAGGACCAGACCACAUGAAUCUAGACUCCAUCUUGGGAUGUCAGUAUUUUUCCACAAACGGAUCUGGGAACCAAGUUUUGAAACAAAGGGUUCCCGCCAUAUUCUAAAACUAUAUAAGGCAGGGACUGACAUCAUCUGCUGUUUUUCACUCCCCACACAAGAAGACACCUGGAAACACCUGAGAAAAAAAGACUGAACCGGGGGAAGUGCUGGACCAAGGCUAAAGGGAUUUCUUCAUGAAGACCUGUAUAUGAAGACGUGAAAAACCCAAGCUCUAAGACUAAAGCUGCUUGUGCCUUAAGAAUCUACAAGUCUGCCUGUACCAUCAGUUAGGGGUCAGGUGUUCUGCAGGUGUGGAAGGGACACCCUCUCAAGGCCACCAUGCCCAGAAGCUGCUGAAAAAACAGGCAGUAGUGAUUUGAGCGGAUAUCUCACUCCUGAAGGUGACAAAGGCACAGAGAACACAGCUGUAACUGGCAUCCUGAAGCCAUCCAGGCCCAUACGCCCUCAAGCCUGUUGAUUGUAAAGGUGCCAGCCGAGUGGCAUUGGAAAGUGUCCUGCCAUGGAGGAAGAAAUAAGACAGCCAUCCCUAGAAACCUUGAGGAAAGGAUUGCAGAGUAUCUUCAUGAAAUUUGUAUUGAGAUUGCUCAGAAGGAUAAAAGGGACAUCCCUA